GCUCAACUCACCGUGUCUCCUUUCUCAAAGCUCUCCGCCGUUGGCCGUACCCAAGAGGAAAAAGAAGAAAAGCAACAACUAGAAAGUGAGGCAGAGACAUUUCCCACCCAGUUGUGAAACUGAGCCAAGUCACGGAGAAAAACUGGGAUCAAAGAAAUGAUCCAACUUGUGAGCCGGAGCCAAACACCUCGCUACGAGUUGCUGAUGUCUAACCCUGCAACGGGAACACCGAGAGAACGCUUCACCCGGCUCCAAGACGCCAACAAUGAGUCAUUAAUACUCCCCAGGCCCCAGGAAGCCUCACUUCACUCAGGGAGGCUGAAACAAAGAGGAGUGGCCUCCCUCACAAAGCGAGCCUCCCACAGCACACGUGGUUGGCUCCCACACCUGCCCUGAAACUCACAAUCCCCGGUCCCCCCUCCCCAGGCAAGCUCCACUCCGGAAGUCGGUUCAGCACUGCUCAGAAUGCCCUCUCUAUGGGGACACAGACACGGGAGGAGACAUCAUCAUGUGUAAAGAGAAAGGCGCAGGGACUCGGGUAUGAAGCUGUGCAAGCUCAUGCCUUCCUCACGUAUGUCUUCAAAGAGAUAAGCACUCAACCCAGGCAGGCAGGUAGGGUGGGAGGUCACGGCCCCGACCAGGACUGUGUCGUGGGGUCUCCACUUGCUGGCUGUGCAACUAUAUGCAAGAGUUUUGAUGUCUCUGCGGCCUCAUGUCCUCUUCUGGAACACAGGGAUGGCCCUCUGCUCCCAGGUCCUGGAAGCUAUGAUGAGCUUCAGCCAUGGCAGCAUCACAUCUCCCAAGUUCACGGUGGAGAAAAAAGCCCAAGAGGGACCAAAGGGGGAUGCUAUGGGUGUUUCUCCCCUCCCACUGCCUCCAUUCAGAGCUGUAUCCUUCCCCCUGGUGGAGGCCCCUGGCCUGAAACGGACCUUACAUGAAACGGCCUUGGUCACUAGAACCCACUUCUGCCCUGGUGGCAUCGCUCAGAGAGAGGUUUCAGUGGGGUAUGUCCAAAUUGCAUUUUCCUCUUGCAGCCCCAGAGUCACACUUCAGAUGCGCGUCCUCUGACGAAGACGGAAGGCAGCCUGUCCGCGUGUCUGAGUGUGUCACGGCCAUUCUGGCUCUGCCCACCAGUCCAUGAGCUCCUCUCCGGAGGCAGUGUAUUUCUCCGUUCUCCUCCAGCCCAACUUGUCAGCAGCCCCCUUGGGCGGCAAACGUAAAGGUUGUUUGGCUUCAAAGGUCAGCUCGGUACCCGUUCUUUGCCUCUGCUGCCAGAGUCCUACGAAAGCCGCGGGAGUGCAAGCCAUCCUGGAGGCAGGCCACCCCCGCUCCCACCCCCGUUCUCACUCCUUCACCAGCGCCCCCCUCGCCUGAACAGUGUCUUCAGCCAAGGAAGGACAGACGCUCACAGGCUGUGUUCCCACCGCCUUCCUCGCGCAGAAAAGCUUAAGCGCCAAAGCUCAGCACACACAGUUGUUCAAGUCACACAGCAGAAGCCACCAAGGGGGUCAGAUAGAAGGAGCCCUGGGGCUGGGGGGAUGACCCUUUGGUGUCCGUGGGCCUCUGUGCUCAAGAGGCUUGACAGUGCAGCGAAUAUAGCCUGGUUCAAAGUCAGGGAGGCUGUUUGGCUACAUUCUCAGGCAGUCAUUUCUAUUAAUGAGGCACCUGUCCUAAAAAUGCAGCUCUCAAAUCAGGGUCCAGGGCCUUUGGCACCCUGGCAGAUUCUUCCAGAUGGUCAGCAGGCUGUCGCAUCCAAUAUUAAUGCUUAAACUAUGACAGCAUCAACACCUCUGCUUCCAGCAUGACAAAACCACGUCCUUUCCUUGUGACAUCUCUAAGAACCAUGGACUGUCACCACUCAGGAACUUGGAGAGUUCCAACCUAUCCUCACUUCAUAGAUGAAAAGCCUGAGACCAGGAGCCAGGAAAAGCCACGCCGUAGCCCUUAAGAUUAAUGCCAGGUAGGGCAAGAACCCCAGUGCAGAUUUUCCUUGAGCUACAAUACCUGAACUGCCUUAAGGAAACACCUACUGUCAACCAUAGACUUUCUCCCACUCAAGUCCAGUGAAGGGUUUUUCCUAUCAAGGGUGGGUUCAGUAGCUAGACCAUGGGGAACUUUGCUUAAAUCACUGGAGAACCUCUGUUGUUAAUCAGAUUAAAUCCAAAGAGGAUUUAUUAAGUUUAUUUUUCAUUAGACAAUAUAAAACCAGCAAGUUCAAGGUCUUCUCAGUCUCAGAGGUCUAGGCUGUGUCCAGAACCCUACAGUUUACCUACCCUAGUUUACAGCUAUGACUCUCAACCAUUACUAUGCAUCAGAAUCGCCUGGAAGGUGUUCUAAAAUGCGGCUUGCUGGGCCCUAGAAUUUCAGACUCAGGAACUCUGAGGCAAGACCCAAGAACGUGUAUUUCAUAUAAAUUCCCAGGUGACACCACAACCCACUUUGAGAACCAUGUACUCGAGUGUCACCAAGACGGACAUUUCCAUUUGCAGUCCCCACUCCAUCCCCCAAGCUACACAUUCACAGCUACUCCGCACCUGCGCAGUCGCCUGCCCUGGCUGCAACCUUAUCUGAUGGUUCUGCCCAAUUAUGGUGACUCGCUUGUGCUACAACAUAAUGUAUUGCCCCAUUAACAGAUGGCUGAAGAUUCAGGCUGGCCUCCUUCCCAAGAUCGCCUGCCCUGUGCUGUACCAGUUCCCCCAGUCCAGACAGAGCAGAUGAACCAGUGAGGGGGUUUUUAGACACCAUCUUGACAGCAAGUCAUUCCUAAAACGCUCCC
Bos taurus (domestic cattle) is the source of this 2776-nucleotide long non-coding RNA. The record is from Ensembl. Lineage: Eukaryota; Metazoa; Chordata; Mammalia; Artiodactyla; Bovidae.